GGAGGGAUGGCAGAGUGGUCGAAUGCGGCGGUCUUGAAAACCGUUGUACCGAAAGGUACCGGGGGUUCGAAUCCCUCUCCCUCCGCCA
This 88-nucleotide transfer RNA is filed under the name Bacteroidota bacterium. RNAcentral describes it as "Bacteroidetes bacterium tRNA-Ser". It matches the Rfam family "tRNA". From Rfam's summary of the family: Transfer RNA (tRNA) molecules are approximately 80 nucleotides in length. Their secondary structure includes four short double-helical elements and three loops (D, anti-codon, and T loops). Lineage: Bacteria; Pseudomonadati; Bacteroidota. The record is from RNAcentral.